This 77-nucleotide transfer RNA is filed under the name Methylophilaceae bacterium. RNAcentral's name for it is "tRNA-Pro". It matches the Rfam family "tRNA". From Rfam's summary of the family: Transfer RNA (tRNA) molecules are approximately 80 nucleotides in length. Their secondary structure includes four short double-helical elements and three loops (D, anti-codon, and T loops). The record is from RNAcentral. Lineage: Bacteria; Pseudomonadati; Pseudomonadota; Betaproteobacteria; Nitrosomonadales; Methylophilaceae.
CGGGGCGUAGCGCAGCCUGGUAGCGCACUUGCAUGGGGUGCAAGGGGUCGUGAGUUCGAAUCCCACCGCUCCGACCA